UUGACGUCUGAAUGAAAAUGUGUAAGAGGGGGAGGGGCCGGAGAAGAGUGUAAGGACAGUCCCUUUUGCAGUCUUAUGAGAUCACUUCUCUAGGAGAGACGCUAUAAAGUGAUCUGAACUCCCACAUCCUUAAGGAUAGAUGGAUUCCAAACUCCUCCCGUCACUUCCAGAAUAAAAUCCGCCUGGCUCAGCCCCUAGCGGUUUGAGCUCACUGUAGGCAGUCCCAAGAGCGGCAAGAAGUUCCGGUAAGUGCGUCUACAAAUUCGUAGCUUCACCCUAUCAACAAAAACAAGAAAUCAAGCCUAAACCUCUGCUUGCCCUGGAAGCGCCUCUCGUGUGAGAGGGCAGGGCAGGCUGGAAGGUUCGAACGGUCAGCCUACCCCGGCAAUAGUACUCAACUUCAUCCCUAAGGGACUCUCAAGCCAAGGUAGCCUUAAGGUUUUUAUCCCGGCCGGAAGGCACCGCCCCCGUGGGGCCUGGGCGGGACAGGAAAACCGGAAGUGGAACGUCGCGGAGCCUGCGUGGUGGUCUGCGGCUGCGUCCGUCCUCCUGCGCAAGCGCGAUGGGGUUCAGCUGGCUGGGUCGGUUUACCACCCCUAUCUUCGGGUCCACUCUGCGGUCCUGGAAUUGACAAGGUUUCCCAGGAAAACCGGUUAUGAAAAUCCUGUGACCACCACCAUGUAAACAAGCCUGAGCUAGCCUGCUUGAAGAGGAACAUAUGGUCAACACAUUCCCAUUAUCCCCACUGAUAUCAACCAACUGCCAGACAUCUCACUCACUCUUGGAGAAGCUGCCUUCCAUGUGGGGAGAACACUUAGGAGUCCUGUGAAGAGGCCAUGUGGCAAGGAACUGAG
Molecule: long non-coding RNA, 854 nt
Organism: Mirounga angustirostris (Northern elephant seal)
Lineage: Eukaryota; Metazoa; Chordata; Mammalia; Carnivora; Phocidae
Exons: 3
Source: RefSeq, a predicted model, not a curated record